Molecule: ribosomal RNA, 492 nt
Filed under: uncultured bacterium
Lineage: Bacteria
Description: partial 16S ribosomal RNA
Rfam family: Bacterial small subunit ribosomal RNA
Source: RNAcentral
AGUGAACGCUGGCGGUAGGCCUAACACAUGCAAGUCGAACGGCAGCACAGUAAGAGCUUGCUCUUACGGGUGGCGAGUGGCGGACGGGUGAGGAAUACAUCGGAAUCUACUUUUUCGUGGGGGAUAACGUAGGGACACUUACGCUAAUACCGCAUACGACCUACGGGUGAAAGCAGGGGAUCUUCGGACCUUGCGCGAUUGAAUGAGCCGAUGUCGGAUUAGCUAGUUGGCGGGGUAAAGGCCCACCAAGGCGACGAUCCGUAGCUGGUCUGAGAGGAUGAUCAGUCACACUGGAACUGAGACACGGUCCAGACUCCUACGGGAGGCAGCAGUGGGGAAUAUUGGACAAUGGGCGAAAGCCUGAUCCAGCCAUGCCGCGUGUGUGAAGAAGGUCUUCGGGUUGUAAAGCCCUUUUGGUUGGGAAGAAAAGCAGUAAGUUAAUACCUCGCUGUUUUGACGGUACCCAAAGAAUAAGCACCGGCUAACUUCGUG